RNAcentral lists this ribosomal RNA (253 nucleotides) under uncultured bacterium. RNAcentral describes it as "partial 16S ribosomal RNA". It matches the Rfam family "Bacterial small subunit ribosomal RNA", at positions 524 to 776 of the family's 1533-position model. The record is from RNAcentral.
UACGUAGGGUGCAAGCGUUGUCCGGAAUUAUUGGGCGUAAAGAGCUCGUAGGCGGUCUGUCGCGUCUGCUGUGAAAAUCCAGGGCUCAACCCUGGACCUGCAGUGGGUACGGGCAGACUAGAGUGCGGUAGGGGAGAUCGGAAUUCCUGGUGUAGCGGUGAAGUGCGCAGAUAUCAGGAGGAACACCGGUGGCGAAGGCGGAUCUCUGGGCCGUAACUGACGCUGAGGAGCGAAAGCAUGGGGAGCGAACAGG